Molecule: ribosomal RNA, 395 nt
Filed under: uncultured bacterium
Lineage: Bacteria
Description: partial 16S ribosomal RNA
Rfam family: Bacterial small subunit ribosomal RNA
Source: RNAcentral
CCUACGGGUGGCAGCAGUGAGGAAUAUUGGUCAAUGGACGCAAGUCUGAACCAGCCAUGCCGCGUGCAGGAAGACGGCCCUAUGAGUUGUAAACUUCUUUUGUACGGGGGUAAAAGCAGACACGUGUGUCUUUUUGUAUGUAUCGUACGAAUAAGGAUCGGCUAACUCCGUGCCAGCAGCCGCGGUAAUACGGAGGAUUCAAGCGUUAUCCGGAUUUAUUUGGUUUAAAGGGUGCGUAGGUGGUAGGUUAAGUUAGUGGGGAAAGCUUGAGGCUCAACCUCGGAAUUGCCUUUGAAACUGGGAGUCUUGAGAGGAGUAGCGGUAGGCGGAAUGCGUGGUGUAGCGGUGAAAUGCUGAGAGAUCACGCAGAACACCGAUUGCGAAGGCAGCUUACC